This is a long non-coding RNA of Dreissena polymorpha, 366 nucleotides long. RefSeq lists it as uncharacterized. Lineage: Eukaryota; Metazoa; Mollusca; Bivalvia; Myida; Dreissenidae. The record is from RefSeq and is a predicted model, not a curated record. The transcript is spliced from 2 exons.
CUACGUUCGCUUUCAGAUGUAUUUUAAAUAAUUCGGAAAACUUUGUUUCGACAAACUAAGAAAUGCAUUUUUUAAGAGAGAUAAGAUGGCCUCACCGACAAAGAAGAGCAAUGAUUACUCUCCAAAUUGUAAAGAAAAAAUACAACUCACACGGAAAUGUUGUCCGAAUCGUUUAGCCAGUCCAAUAAACAGAAUUCAACUCUCAAAAAAUGCAAACGACAGUCUUAAUUGUACAGCAGAAGUUGAAGAAGAUCGAGAACAUAGCAAGUGUAUGCAUUUAAUCUAAAAUUGAUCUGCAAAUCAAAGGAACCUUUUCACGUUUUGGUAAAUUGACAAAUCUGAAAAAAAAUCUUUGAGAUUCGCAAA